Molecule: ribosomal RNA, 353 nt
Filed under: uncultured bacterium
Lineage: Bacteria
Description: bacterial SSU rRNA
Rfam family: Bacterial small subunit ribosomal RNA
Source: RNAcentral
GGGCCCGCACAAGCGGUGGAGUAUGUGGUUUAAUUCGAUGCAACGCGAAGAACCUUACCAGGGUUUGACAUCCUGCGAAUCUCUUGGAAACGAGAGAGUGCCUUCGGGAACGCAGUGACAGGUGGUGCAUGGCUGUCGUCAGCUCGUGUCGUGAGAUGUUGGGUUAAGUCCCGCAACGAGCGCAACCCACGUCGUUAGUUGCCAGCAUUUAGUUGGGCACUCUAGCGAGACCGCCGGUGAUAAACCGGAGGAAGGUGUGGAUGACGUCAAGUCAUCAUGCCCCUUACAUCCUGGGCUACACACGUGCUACAAUGGUAUCUACAACAGGAAGCAAAACAGCGAUGUUAAGCAAA